UACCUGCAGCCCGAGUGGUGCUCGUUAUUAUUGGGUCUAAAUCGUCCGUAGUCGGCUAAGUAGAUGCCCGGGUAAAUCGCAGCGCUCAACGUUGCGAAUUCCGGGUAGACCGCUUGGCUAGGGAUUGGGAGAGGUGCAAAGUACUUCGAGGGUAGGGGUAAAAUCCUGUAAUCCUCGGGGGACUACCAGUGGCGAAGGCGUUGCACUAGAACAAGUCCGACGAUCAGGGACGAAGCCCUGGGGCGCAAACGGG
RNAcentral lists this ribosomal RNA (253 nucleotides) under uncultured bacterium. RNAcentral's name for it is "partial 16S ribosomal RNA". It matches the Rfam family "Archaeal small subunit ribosomal RNA", at positions 474 to 727 of the family's 1478-position model. The record is from RNAcentral.